UUCGGCUUAGAAAUAGUACUAUACAGCUGAAAAUUGUGAAUGACAUUAGAAAGAGGACUAAGAGAGAAGAAACAAAUAACAGAAUGGGUAGAAAGGUCGAGAGAAAAAGGAACGUAUAACGAUGAACCUUGCUAAUUCUCGUUAAGUAUUACUAAUCUCUAUUAGUAAUUCCAUUUAAGGAUUAAAUAAACAGUGCUAUAUUUUUCCCUGCUGAAUCUGCGACCAUUGAGUAAAAUUAGUGUUACGAAGGAGGAUUAACUUGGUUGGAUUUAAUAAACUCUGAAAUCACGUAACAAAAGAUGCGAGAAUUAUCGAGCCCAUUAGGAUGGCGUUGUUGGAUGACAUUUACCCCUGGUGACCGGUAAUAUUGAUGUUAUCGAUGUCAGUAGCAAUGGCAUAGCAACUUCCGCAUGAGCGCAAUAAUCGGUACACAAUUGAAGCGGACAGAGUCCGAAAUUGAUUGAGUUUUGAGUAUCAACAGAUUGACGUGAAUCAAUUAGUUGCCAGUUUGUUAGAAAAUUUGAACACGGAAACAUCCAUCGUUUCUUGAUGAAAGGGGUUACUACAUUCUAAUCUGUCCCUGGAAGUUUUUUCUGAACUUUUUCUCCGAACCAUGCAUCUAAAUUCUCG
Eufriesea mexicana is the source of this 630-nucleotide long non-coding RNA. RefSeq lists it as uncharacterized. The record is from RefSeq and is a predicted model, not a curated record. NCBI's taxonomy places the organism in Eukaryota, Metazoa, Arthropoda, Insecta, Hymenoptera, Apidae. The transcript is spliced from 3 exons.